UAAUACGAAGGGGGCUAGCGUUGCUCGGAAUUACUGGGCGUAAAGGGCGCGUAGGCGGCGCGGUUAGUCAGGCGUGAAACUCCUGGGCUCAACCCAGGAACUGCGUUUGAUACGGCCGUGCUCGAGGAUGGAAGAGGGCCGCGGAAUUCCCAGUGUAGAGGUGAAAUUCGUAGAUAUUGGGAAGAACACCGGUGGCGAAGGCGGCGGCCUGGUCCAUUUCUGACGCUGAGGCGCGACAGCGUGGGGAGCAAACAGGAUUAGAUACCCUGGUAGUCCACGCCGUAAACGAUGUGCGCUGGAUGUUGGGCGGCCUAGCCGUUCAGUGUCGAAGCCAACGCGGUAAGCGCACCGCCUGGGGAGUACGGCCGCAAGGUUG
This 376-nucleotide ribosomal RNA is filed under the name uncultured bacterium. RNAcentral describes it as "bacterial SSU rRNA". It matches the Rfam family "Bacterial small subunit ribosomal RNA", at positions 521 to 896 of the family's 1533-position model. The record is from RNAcentral.